This 234-nucleotide ribosomal RNA is filed under the name uncultured bacterium. RNAcentral's name for it is "partial 16S ribosomal RNA". It matches the Rfam family "Bacterial small subunit ribosomal RNA", at positions 99 to 334 of the family's 1533-position model. The record is from RNAcentral.
CGGACGGGUGAGCAAUACUUAGGAAUCUGCCCAUUAGUGGGGGACAACUCGAGGAAACUCGAGCUAAUACCGCAUACGCCCUACGGGGGAAAGCGGAGGACCUUUCGGGGCUUCGCGCUAAUGGAUGAGCCUAAGUCGGAUUAGCUUGUUGGUGAGGUAAAGGCUCACCAAGGCGACGAUCCGUAGCUGGUCUGAGAGGACGAUCAGCCACACUGGGACUGAGACACGGCCCAG